Camelina sativa (false flax) is the source of this 1832-nucleotide non-coding RNA. Lineage: Eukaryota; Viridiplantae; Streptophyta; Magnoliopsida; Brassicales; Brassicaceae. The record is from RefSeq and is a predicted model, not a curated record.
GUAAGGUUGCGGUAAAAACAAGAUAAGGAGAAUGAGAGGUUAAACAAGUGGCUGACCAAAAUCCUUCAGAUGAUGAUUACUUGCUAAAUCGCAAGACCGUUUACGGUUUCUGAGGUUUCUUUGGGAUGCUUGCCAUGGUCUCACUUUGAUCAUUUUGAUGGUUGGUUCCUGCAGUAGCGUCUUUUGCACUUGGGAUUUAACAAACAGAGGGUAUCAAAGAAGGAUGUUAUGAUGGAGGAAGCACUGCAUUUGCAGUGAUUCUUGUGAUUGUUGUCACAGCUGUCAGUGACUACAAGUAGCCUCUCUACCAGCAAUUUCAGCUUCUCUCUCCUCCUCCACGCUGAGACGAGAGUUAUGGACUUGGGUAAAAAUCGAAGACUGUUGCUGGCCAUGGAAGAUAUACCGUAACACAAUAAGCAAGUGAAGGCUGCUUGCAGAUCAAACUCAUUACCUAAGGUUAUACAUGAUGAGCUAGUGAAAUUGAUGGGUGGAGGAUAAGUAUCUGAUCUACACUUUGCUAAGUAACUCACGCAGGUCCUACAUUAAUACUGUUGCCUGGGCUCUAAGGAUUUGGGAAGACAACUGUUUGCUUGCUCCAAAGAAGCAGCAGCAGCAGGGAAUGUCUUGCAUGCUUAUUGCUGGAGAUGUUUACCGACCUGCUGCCAUCCAUCAACUUUUCAUUUUAGCUGAACAGGUUGGUGUGCUGGUUCAUACAGCAGGGACUGAUGUAAGACCUGCAGAUGUAGCUAAAGAAGGUCUAAAAGAAGCUAAAAAAGAGUAAUUUGGAAGUAGUUAUCAUGAAUACUGCAGGGAGGCUUCAGAUAGAUAAAGGCAUGAUGGACGACGUGAAGAAAUUUCUGAAUCGCACAGAAGUGUUACUUGUUUGUUGAUGCCAUGACUGGACAAGAAGCGGCAGCUAUGGUUCAAUUAUAGAGAUAGGAAUCACAGAGCCAUUUUGAGAAAGCUAGAUGGUGAUUCAAGAAGUGUUUCUGCUUUGAGUUUCAAGGAGGUAUCAGGAAUAACAAAACAGCAGGUUGUUUGAAGUCUGCUUCCAGCGAAGAUGGUGUCGAACCGCAGCGUGCUAUAUACUUAGCAGACAAAGCUGUGUUGUCUUCCUCUGGCUUUCAGGCUGAUGUGAAAGCAUUGCAGAAGGAUCUCAAAUCCAGACACGUGGUGUGGUUUGAUUUGGUCCUUUGAUCCAAAUCCAGACACUUGGAGAAGGGUGUGUCUUUACUUACGACGCUGUUGGAUCAUAUGAGGGAGUUGGAUACGGUGCUCAAGGUUCUGGUUCCACACUCAUCAUGCCUUUCCUUGACAACCAGCUCAAGUCUCCGACUCCUCUUCUGCUACCUAAACAGUUUUGUUGAUUAUCUUCAUCCCUGCUUUGGUGUUAUGCAUUGUUGUUAGCAUAAAAUGAAUAAUUCAGUUGCUUAUUUAAUCGUCUUCUGCCACCAUGUAGGAUUCGAACACUCCCCUUUCAGAGACCGAAGCAGUUGACUUUGGUUAAAACUGUUUUCGCCUCUACUACCGAGAGGGAUAUCUACACUAGAGACAAGCUUGAGAUUAUGAUACUUAAGGCUGACGCCCGACGGUAUCAAGACUGAACUUAAGGACAUGAGGAAAGACUAAGCUCAUUUAGCCAACCCAUGUCCUUGUGGUUUGUUAUUUUCACUUCAACAUUAGGCUUCCUGAGUUGUAGAACUCGUAUGAACUGUUGUUGGGUUUGAUGGUUCACAGUUGAAAUCAUGACUCGUAUCUGAAGUUUCUCCAAAACUGUUUUCUUUUUGUAUGAAUCACUCAAAUCAUUGUGUUCAAACACUACUUCUCUCGUU